This 1981-nucleotide long non-coding RNA is filed under the name Strigops habroptila (Kakapo). Its description in RNAcentral is "lncRNA (ENSSHBG00005007562.1)". Lineage: Eukaryota; Metazoa; Chordata; Aves; Psittaciformes; Psittacidae. The record is from RNAcentral.
GAGUGGGAGCUCUUGGAGUUCCUUUGCCCAUCACAUUGGGACUGAGCAGAAGGGGCCAGGGUGGGGAAAUGUUCCCAAACCCAACUGACAUUCCAUUGCCGAUAGCGCCGGAGGCUCCGCCUGUGUGGGAGCCUCCAUCAAGAGACAAAAUUAACCACUGCUGGACACUUGUGAAGACGAAUCAUUCUGAGUCUGUCAAAAAUUGUGUGUGUAAAUAUAUAUAUCUAAAUACUCGGCUAGGAUUUGAAGAAUUACAGGAUAUCCCACGUUUAGGAAGGUGCUCCCCUGAGUCACCUUCGUGCCCCUGAGUUGAGAUUAACAAGACCAAUGUAGCUCUGCCAUCAUUCUUAUAGCAUGUCUUCAGCAUUUGAGCUUUUUUUUUUGGGGGGGGGGAUGGGGGUUUAAUUCUUGUAUUAUACUUUUGGAUGCUGUUGCUGUCAUCUGUGCCUAUAGCAAUAUUUCCAGUUGACCAAAUAUUCUAAUCUCUUUAUAUGCAAAAGAAAUAGUUUUAAGUACCUUUUUAUAGAAUGGUAAGAUGGUAUAAACGUACUCUAAAUUUACUCCUUUGUGCUAUUACCCUGUAUUACUGUACUUUUUUCUUUCUCUCUUUGGUUUUUUGGUUUUUUUUUUUUGUUGGUAAGUGAAUCCGUAGGGCAGGAAUUUUUAGUUUCAGGCUGAGGUCAUGACUGAGGAUGAGGAAUGUUACCGAGAUCAGUGAAACACCUGAAGCAAAAAGCAGACUUCUAAAGCAAAGCGGUGGAGGUGAGAGGCACAAAGAGCUUGUGCAUGAAAGGAAAAGGACCCAGGUGAAAGUUUUACCUUUUUAACCUCUAAGCCCAGAUCUAAGUUAUAGGAAGGGAAUUUAUUAAAAGUAGAUUGCAGCAGAUUGGUUUCUUUAUUUUUUUUUUUCCCCAAUAAAAACCAUGUAUUGUUUGGUUUUCCUGGCUUAUGACUCUUUCCCGGGCCAUUCUGCCUUCUCUUUCGUGUGAUCCGAUGUUGCCUUACAUUUCCCUCUAACCUGCAACCUGUUCGGAUGCAAAAUAACCAGAAUCUUGUACUUUUUUUCAGGGUUUUUUCUGCAAAUUGUGGACCAAAGUUUGUUUUUUAAUUGUCUUAGUGUGUUGCAAGUUAGGAUUUCCUGGCUUAGUGUGGGAGCUCUUGACUUGCCUGGCACUGAGUGUUUGGAAAAGUCUUAACUUUCCGUAGUUCCUCCCUGAGCUCUUGAGGAUGUGAAUUGUACUGGAGAAGCGCGUGAGGUCUGAGUGAGGGUUCAGCUUGAGCUGCUGGCAUGGGGGUCCUGAUCCUCCUCUGGCUGCGGCGUGGAAAACCAGCUUUCCUGGAAGCAUUGCCCCAAUUGAGCCGGUGCCACUGGGUUUGGUAACCCCUAAACCUGGGCAAAGCCUCUUGCCGAAGCUCCGCACCUCCUUGCCAGCACCUCAACGUUCAGGAGGGCAAACCCAGGCGUCUGGUGGUGGUUGUCACUCCUCUCCCUCCCCAGGUGACAAACCCAUUCCCCUGCAGCCGUGGGGCUGUGGUUGGAUUCGAAAUGUGUUUGAGAAGCCUCCCCCAGGACACUGGGAAGAGGCUGCUUGGAACGAGACCUGCUCCGGGGGGGCCUUGACCGCUGCUUCGGUCACCCCACGGGCUGGAACCAAGCGCAGACAAAUGGAGGUGACCCGCGACCAGGCGCCGGUGGGUCUUUCCUUUGGAUCCCUGUGUUUGCAUGUAAAGAAUGUGAGUAACAAAAGGGUGUACAUAUUUAUAAUUUUUUUAUACCUGUUGUAAGACAUGAGGGGGCAGCAAAACCCGGUUUUUUUAUGGUGAAACAGAUGUAUUGUAUAUUUUGAUAACAGCGAUUCCAGGUUCAGUAUUGUGGAAGGUGGGGUGGGGAGGGGAAGCGUACACACCAUCAGAAUUCCAUUGCCUCUUUCAAAGAAUGUUUGUAAUGCAAAAAGAAAUGAAAUUAAAACUAUUUUAUAAC